GGUCUCCCCCCCCAGGCUCAUGGCCACGUCGGGGCUGGACCGGAAGAUCCGGAUCUUCGACCUCCGGAAUUUCGGGAUCCUGCAGGAAUGGGGGGUCCCAGCGGGAGCUGCUGCCCUGGAAUUCAGCCAGAGGGGGCUCCUGGCGGCCGCCUGCGGGGACCUGCUGCAGGUGGGACCCCCAAAAACCACCCCAAAACACCCCUGGGACCCCCAAAACCACCCCAAAACACCCCUGGGAGCCCCAAAAACAGCCCAAAACACCCCUGGGAACCCCCAAAACAGCCCAAAACACCCCUGGGAGCCCCAAAAACAGCCCUGGGACCCUCAAAACCACCCCAAAACACUCCUGGGAACCCCAAAAACAGCCUUGGGACCCUCAGAAACAGCCCAAAACACUCCUGGGAACCCCCAAAACCACCCCAGAACACCCCUGGGAGCCCCAAAAACAGCCUUGGGACCCUCAAAAACACCCCAAAACACACCUGGGAACCCCAAAAACAGCCCUGGGACCCCAAAAAUCUGACCCAGGACCCCCCAAAAAAGCCCCAAAACACUCCUGGGACCCCCAAAACAGCCCAAAACACCCCUGGGACCCCCAAAACCAGCCUUGGGACCCCAAAAAUCUGCCCUAGGACCCCCAAAAACAACCCAAAAGACACCUGGGAACCCCAAAAAUACCCCUGGGAACCCCAAAAACUACCCCAAAAUACACCUGGGAACCCCAAAAACACCCCAAAACACACCUGGGACCCCCAAAAACAGCCCAAAAUACACCUGGGAACCCCAAAACCAGCCCAAAACACCCCUGGGAGCCCCAAAACCAGCCUUGGGACCCCAAAAAUCUGCCCCAGGACCCCCAAAAACAGCCCAAAACACCCCUGGGAGCCCCAAAAACAGCCCUGGGACCCUCAAAACCACCCCAAAACACUCCUGGGAACCCCAAAAACAGCCCUGGGACCCUCAGAAACAGCCCAAAACACUCCUGGGAACCCCAAAAACAGCCUUGGGACCCCAAAAAUCUGCCCUAGGACCCUCAAAAACAACCCAAAACACCCCUGGGAGCCCCAAAAACAGUCUUGAG
RNAcentral lists this long non-coding RNA (1081 nucleotides) under Manacus vitellinus (golden-collared manakin). RNAcentral describes it as "lncRNA (ENSMVIG00005000203.1)". Lineage: Eukaryota; Metazoa; Chordata; Aves; Passeriformes; Pipridae. The record is from RNAcentral.